RNAcentral lists this non-coding RNA (24 nucleotides) under Arabidopsis thaliana (thale cress). The record is from RNAcentral. Lineage: Eukaryota; Viridiplantae; Streptophyta; Magnoliopsida; Brassicales; Brassicaceae.
GCGGACAAGCCCGUUGCGGACUGC